Molecule: ribosomal RNA, 253 nt
Filed under: uncultured bacterium
Lineage: Bacteria
Description: partial 16S ribosomal RNA
Rfam family: Bacterial small subunit ribosomal RNA
Source: RNAcentral
UACGUACGGGGCGAGCGUUAUCCGGAAUUACUGGGCGUAAAGCGCGUGCAGGCGGACUAUUAAGUUGGGCGUGAAAUCUCCCGGCCUAACUGGGAGGGGUCGCCCAAGACUGGUGGUCUUGAGGACAGCAGAGGUGGGUGGAAUUCCUGGUGUAGUGGUGAAAUGCGUAGAGAUCGGGAGGAACACCAGUGGCGAAGGCGGCUCGCUGGGCCGGACCUGACGCUGAGACGCGAAGGCGUGGGGAGCGAACGGG